This 129-nucleotide long non-coding RNA is filed under the name Neodiprion pinetum (white pine sawfly). RNAcentral describes it as "uncharacterized LOC124215117". Lineage: Eukaryota; Metazoa; Arthropoda; Insecta; Hymenoptera; Diprionidae. The record is from RNAcentral.
AGAACACCGGGAUAUUUGGUAAGGGAGGAACUACAGGGGGAGAAACUAAGGAUUAGGGCAGGGAGAAGGGCAUGGAAUUUUGAAAGGAAGCUGGAGAGAGGGGAGGUCGGAAGAGCGCGGUGCAGGGAA